CAUAGACUCAGAACACACAUUUUCUAAGCUCUGGAAAACAUAUGCAUCGAUUCAUAGCUGUAUGAACCGACUCAAACACGCAACCUGUAACAUCCAGCAGCACUUACCAUUCCAAAACAGUAUACAUAUCAAUCAUUUUAUGCUAAAUUCCACGAAUCAUUCUAACUACACACAUUCAACACAGCUAUAGGGUAAGUUUUGCCAUGUGUCAAUCACACAAUGCUGCAGAAGAAAUCCUAGCUGGACAAGAUCACAAAUACUUUGCUUCUUCUGGCCAACAGUUUGAAUUUCGUUUCCCCCCUUUCAUCUCUUUGCUUGCUGGGCCAAACUUUUUUACCCAGCCCAGUCCAAUAAGCCCAAGGAUGGCAAACAAACAAAAAAUGGUCAGAACUCAUAAGCAAGCUGUUGUCGUGUUGUCGUUUUCAGCAUGCGAGUGAUUUUCUUCAUUUGGGUAACAAACAUGUUGCUCCUUUCUCUGCUGCAAGCUCCUUUCCCUGAUCUAGGUUUCAAAUUCAAAUUUCAAAUCCCCCUCAAAAUGUCUUUUGUGGCAUCUCUAUUUGCACACACAAUCUCUCUCCCUCUUCUACCUUCAUUCAAUACAUGCCAAUCUCUCUGCGUCCAUUUCUCUGCUUCAUCUCCCAGAAUCUAGAUAACAAUUUUUUUCUCUCUUUGUUUUCACUUUGGUACAGAUUAACUUCCAUUAUUAAUGAUUAGUUAAUGUGUUAUUUUCCUCACAGAUUCACACUUCCAUCGCAAUUUUCAGUUUUUAUUGUUUGUUCAGGUUCACAAUUAGAGUUUGAUUGGGCCAAAAGAUUUGUAGACUAUUUGGCUACUUUGGUCCUCUAAAUGCAGUUUUCGUGCCUCAUGAUGAUUAUAUUAGGCUUUACCCGGUCUGCAGUUGACUUCACUUAACAGAGUUAUUGUCCAGAGCAUGAAUGGGAAGAAAAGACAUGAAAUGAGUCCUUGAUUAUCGUAUUUUAUAGUUGCCUUCUUUAUAUUACUAGAUGUUGCUUUGGACCUAUGGUUUUAGACAGGAAAGUUAACAUAUAUUGAUUCAUUUUCUUUUGCAUCUAGAAAUUUAUUGCCCUAAAAUAUUCCAUAUAAAAACAUUUCAUGUGUGCAUGUAGAAGCUCCUUUUGCUGUUGUAAGUACAGUUGCAGAGAGUGUGAGAGCUCAUGCCAUUGUUGAUGUUGCUGCUGGUCAGCAAAAUGACAUACCUAUGAUUCCUAUAAGAUGCUCAGAAAAUAUGAAGUUCUUCUAUUUUGUUUACAAAUUGAGACAAGAAAGUGCAGAUAGUAUAUGGCUCACUACCUUUUGAUCUUGAGGCUGGUCAUAAGAUACUACCAAAUAUAAUUCCCUGGAAUUUUCUCUCAAGAGUUAUCCACACUAAUCGAGAAGGAGGUUGCCAAGUCAAUGACCAUAAUAGAAAACAACUCAAACUGGGAAGGGUUAGCUAAUGAAGAGCUUUGCAUAGAAACUGAUUAUUUAGCUAUUCUUGACAGCACUUCUGUUGUAUGGCUACUUUGUUAUCAAUUUAGUUAUGUAAACAUCUUGGUUGCUAAUCUGUUGAGGUGUACAAUUUUAUUUUUUCAAUUUUUAGUGCAACUUAUACAGUGGAAUUGUUGACUGGAAAAGAUUAUGUAAGUAUAUUUUAAGGUUGUUUUAAGUCUUUUACUAAAAGUGAAGUGAAGAAAUUUCAAGUUAUCCCAAUCUAUGGAAAC
Long non-coding RNA from Trifolium pratense (red clover), 1721 nucleotides. RefSeq lists it as uncharacterized. The transcript is spliced from 6 exons. Lineage: Eukaryota; Viridiplantae; Streptophyta; Magnoliopsida; Fabales; Fabaceae. The record is from RefSeq and is a predicted model, not a curated record.